RNAcentral lists this microRNA precursor (168 nucleotides) under Paramuricea clavata. Lineage: Eukaryota; Metazoa; Cnidaria; Anthozoa; Malacalcyonacea; Plexauridae. The record is from RNAcentral.
GCGAUUACCGAUUUAUCGGCAAAUACUGCGAUAAAAUUUAAAUUUCGUUCCUUUUAUGCAAUGAAACUAACGAAAAAUGUAUUAUUUCCCUUUGCUACAAAUUAUCAUAUUUAAAAAAAGAAAAAAACUAAGUUUUAUCGCGGUAUUUGCCGAUAAAUCGGUAAUCGC